CUCCACUGAUUUAUGUUUUAUAGCUAUAUAAUUUGAUAAUUUUGAAAAAGAAAUCAUUUGUCAGCAGGCAAAGCCGGAUCAGUGUGAACUCGUCUCGCUAAACGGGUGCUCACAACUCAGAGACUGGAAUCCUGGAUAAGCCGCGUAAUUGGCUCCGGAGUGGAUCCGGAGACCAAGCCUUCUCGCUAAUUGUUUUGAAAAAAGAAACAACAGAUAUAUAGUUUUUGGAAUAGCGAGAAGCAACAGGGAAUCCUGAAGAUAGAUCCUGAACACUCUGAACAGUCCAUGUACGUAUAUGCUAUGUAUGCUGUGCUGGAAAGCAUAAACAUGUAAAGUUUACGCUUCAUUAAAUACAUGAUUUAAUAUCUAAAAAGAGAAGUAUUACAUUCUGUUAACUUAAAUCUUUUCCAGUAGUAAGUUGCUAUUCACGGCUGUUCACAAGAAGUGUAUUCAAUAGAAAGAGGAACAGGAAGCAGAAGCACACUUAUACUUGUUCCUGCAGAUUUCCAUUCACGUUUUAAAUGGAACUCGUGAGUAUCUGUUGUGUUGAAAGCAAUCAUCAACAAGAUUAAUAACAACUAUGGAAUAAUUACAAUUCAAUAGAAAGUUAAGAAAGUACCAUUAUUAUUUAAACAUUCUUAAAGAUUAUAAAAAUAUUUAUUUAAAAAAUUAUUAAAUAAAUUGUUAAUCAUUCCUAUUAUAUUAAUAAUAAAAAAGGGUAUAAUUAAAAACGGAAAUAUUGCAUAAGAAAUUUUUGGUAUCGUUGAACAGUAAAACAAUAAGAGAAAAAAGGAGCGAA
Ooceraea biroi (clonal raider ant) is the source of this 799-nucleotide long non-coding RNA. RefSeq lists it as uncharacterized. The record is from RefSeq and is a predicted model, not a curated record. Lineage: Eukaryota; Metazoa; Arthropoda; Insecta; Hymenoptera; Formicidae.